ACGGGAGGCAGCAGUGGGGAAUAUUGCACAAUGGGGGAAACCCUGAUGCAGCGACGCCGCGUGAGUGAAGAAGUAUUUCGGUAUGUAAAGCUCUAUCAGCAGGGACGAAAAUGACGGUACCUGACUAAGAAGCCCCGGCUAACUACGUGCCAGCAGCCGCGGUAAUACGUAGGGGGCAAGCGUCAUCCGGAUUUACUGGGUUUAAAGGGAGCGCAGGCGGAGAUGUAAGCCAGCCGGUAAAUCGUGGGGCUCAACCCCAUCUUGCGGUUGGAACUGCAUCCCUUGAGUGCACGAGAGGAUGGUGGAAUUCGUGGUGUAGCGGUGAAAUGCAUAGAUAUCACGAAGAACUCCGAUUGCGAAGGCAGCCAUCUGGCGUGUUACUGACGCUCAUGCUCGAAGGUGCGGGUAUCAAACAGGAUUAGAUACCCUGGUA
Molecule: ribosomal RNA, 433 nt
Filed under: uncultured Clostridium sp.
Lineage: Bacteria; Bacillati; Bacillota; Clostridia; Eubacteriales; Clostridiaceae
Description: partial 16S ribosomal RNA
Rfam family: Bacterial small subunit ribosomal RNA
Source: RNAcentral